RNAcentral lists this ribosomal RNA (692 nucleotides) under uncultured eukaryote. Its description in RNAcentral is "SSU rRNA". It matches the Rfam family "Eukaryotic small subunit ribosomal RNA", at positions 591 to 1288 of the family's 1831-position model. The record is from RNAcentral.
CUCAUAGCGUAUAUUAAGUUGUUGCAGUUAGAACGCUCGUAGUCGGAUUUCGGGGCGGGCCGACCGGUCUGCCGAUGGGUAUGCACUGGCCGGCGCGUCCUUCCUCUCGGAGACCGUUCCUACUCUUAACUGAGCGGGAGCGGGAGACGGGACUUUUACUUUGAAAAAAUCAGAGUGUUUCAAGCAGGCAGCUCGCUCUUGCAUGGAUUAGCAUGGGAUAAUGAAAUAGGACUUUGGUGCUAUUUUGUUGGUUUCGAACACCGAAGUAAUGAUGAGAAGGGACAGUCAGGGGCACUCGUAUUCCGCCGAGAGAGGUGAAAUUCUCAGACCAGCGGAAGACGAACCACUGCGAAAGCAUUUGCCAGGGAUGUUUUCACUGAUCAAGAACGAAAGUUAGGGGAUCGAAGACGAUCAGAUACCGUCGUAGUCUUAACCAUAAACCAUGCCGACUAGGGAUCGGAGGAUGUUCACAUAUUGACUCCUUCGGCACCUUACGGGAAACUAAAGUCUUUGGGUUCCGGGGGGAGUAUGGUCGCAAGGCUGAAACUUAAAGGAAUUGACGGAAGGGCACCACCAGGUGUGGAGCCUGCGGCUUAAUUUGACUCAACACGGGGAAACUUACCAGGUCCAGACAUUGUGAGGAUUGACAGAUUGAGAGCUCUUUCUUGAUUCGAUGGGUGGUGGUGCAUGGC